Long non-coding RNA from Leopardus geoffroyi (Geoffroy's cat), 143 nucleotides. RefSeq lists it as uncharacterized. The record is from RefSeq and is a predicted model, not a curated record. NCBI's taxonomy places the organism in Eukaryota, Metazoa, Chordata, Mammalia, Carnivora, Felidae. The transcript is spliced from 2 exons.
CUGUCUUUCUCUGUCCCAAAAAUAAAUAAACGUUGAAAAAAAAAAAAAAAAGGAAUAAAACAUACAAGCAGAUGUACUUACAGCAAAAAUAGUGUCUUUUCUAAUGAAAUCUGUUCAUAAGGUAGAUCAAUCUGUUAUAAAUG